UACGUAGGGUGCAAGCGUUGUCCGGAAUUAUUGGGCGUAAAGAGCUCGUAGGCGGCUUGUCGCGUCGGCUGUGAAAACCUGGGGCUCAACCCCGGGCCUGCAGCCGAUACGGGCAAGCUAGAAUUCGGUAGGAGAGUGGAAUUCCUGGUGUAGCGGUGAAAUGCGCAGAUAUCAGGAAGAAUAUCCGUGGCGAAGGCGGCUCUCUGGGACGGUACUGACGCUGAGACGCGAAAGCGUGGGGAGCGAACAGG
RNAcentral lists this ribosomal RNA (251 nucleotides) under uncultured bacterium. Its description in RNAcentral is "partial 16S ribosomal RNA". It matches the Rfam family "Bacterial small subunit ribosomal RNA", at positions 524 to 776 of the family's 1533-position model. The record is from RNAcentral.